RNAcentral lists this transfer RNA (72 nucleotides) under Rhipicephalus microplus (southern cattle tick). Its description in RNAcentral is "tRNA-Trp". It matches the Rfam family "tRNA". Rfam says of the family: Transfer RNA (tRNA) molecules are approximately 80 nucleotides in length. The record is from Rfam by way of RNAcentral. Lineage: Eukaryota; Metazoa; Arthropoda; Arachnida; Ixodida; Ixodidae.
GACUCGGUGGCGCAAUUGUAGCGCGUCUGAAUCCAGAUCAGAAGGGUGCGUGUUCGAAUCCCGUCUGGGUCA